This 1291-nucleotide long non-coding RNA is filed under the name Triticum aestivum (bread wheat). RNAcentral's name for it is "long non-coding RNA (TAES_LNC013197)". Lineage: Eukaryota; Viridiplantae; Streptophyta; Magnoliopsida; Poales; Poaceae. The record is from RNAcentral.
UGCGUGGAUUAUCCCCCCUUUCCCUCUUCAUGCGGUAGCGACCAGGAGGCGAACUGGGCUGUGCAUCGAUUUGGUGCGAGCUCGGCGGCGGCAACGACCUUUUCCGGCGUCCCUCUCCAUCGUCAGCGGUCUUCUCGUUGGUAACACCACCCUCUUCCUCUUCCAUUCCCUUUUCUCCAUGAAUUUCUUAAUUUUUAGGGUUAGGGUUCUAGAUUUUUGAGGAGCAGGGUAAAGAAAGGGUAAAAAGACCAAGAAAUUAAGGAGAUGAAAGAGAAGAGAUGAGCUUGCAUACUGAAGGGGGUGAUGGAGAAAACCUUAGCUCGUCAGUGGGAUCAAAUCAAGGAGGUGGGGAUCACGCAGGAGGAGAAGCUGCGGAGGAGGAACAACACCAGAAUAUCUUCUUAGAUCCAGCCAAACGUGAUAGCCCUGUUUCUUGUCUAUCUUCUCUGUUUUAGAUGAACUGUUAUUCCUUAUCUCUUCUUUAGAGCUCCACUGCUACAAAAAAAAUAGAACCAAUUCCGGCCAUUUUCACUUGGAAUGGAUUUGGGAUGCUGCUACUGUAUUUAGGAUGGUAUCCCAUCAUUCUGAAUCUGCUUCAGAACUGAACACUAGUGACGCUUCAGAACUUUCUGUAGGUGCAGACCUGAAGACUAGUGAGACACAGUAGCAACUAGCGAAAAUGACAAGUGCAGAAUUUUUUUUUCCUUUUACAAUUCAUCGUACAUUUUGUAGCUCUUUGUCACCUCUGUGAAAGCACUGCAUACGCCUUCAGUACACUAACCUUUCUCAGGUUUGCUUCUCACAUUUUUACAAUGUGCUUAAGGAGAAUGAUGAAUGGUUAAGCACCUAUUUAUUUCUAGUUUUGAUCUGUUGAUGCACACUCAGCACAAGAAUAAAACUGUACAUGCUCCAAUUUUACGUUGAUGUAUAUAUAUAUGGAGCUUAUUCUAGAAAGCACAUACUUUCUUUUAGGCAUAAAAAUAAACACCUGUAGCUGUAGAGCAGGACCGUAACACAAAAUAGAGGAAAAUAAUUCCCCUGUGUUUUUCAGGUCAUAAACUUCAAGAGUAGUUUCAGAACCGAAUUCCUUUUCACUAAAACGCUCCAGCAACAGAAAUUCACCUGUUUAAAAACAAAAGAAUGAGCAAAAGUUAAAACACACCCACACACCUGUAGGCGUUUCAGCCAUUUAUGUGAGAGCUCAUAAUUCUUUCCUCGGAGGAACGCAAGCACUGGUGGUCGUGCCCAAAGGCAGCGGAUGUGGUUGUAAUGCCCUUGGCCAAACUGUUGG